AAAUCUUACAGAUCCUUUUCUUGAAAGAAUAACAGAAAAUGUGUCAUUCAUUUUUCAGAAUAUAACCACUCAAGCUACUGGCACAUAGUGAAAGAUUACUUCUGACAUUCCAUUGCUCUUCUUUUGAAAAUUAGUAUGGUAAUUAAAUGUACUUUUUGAAAAUUAAUAGAAUUAUUUAAAUUACAGUAUAUGUUGCAAAAUAUAUCACUUUUGAUACAAUAGUCAAAAUUGAGUGGUUUAAUGUUUUGUAAAUAUUAAGUGUUUAAAUGAAAAAUAAAGAUGUGCUUAUAUCAUUGUAUAAUUGUU
This 306-nucleotide long non-coding RNA is filed under the name Homo sapiens (human). Its description in RNAcentral is "non-protein coding lnc-RAD54B-1:2". Lineage: Eukaryota; Metazoa; Chordata; Mammalia; Primates; Hominidae. The record is from RNAcentral.